GGAGAGGUGGCCGAGUGGUUGAAGGCGGCGGUCUCGAAAAUCGCUAUACUGUGAAUGCAGUAUCGUGGGUUCGAAUCCCACCCUCUCCGCCA
This 92-nucleotide transfer RNA is filed under the name Candidatus Aminicenantota bacterium. Its description in RNAcentral is "Candidatus Aminicenantes bacterium tRNA-Ser". It matches the Rfam family "tRNA". From Rfam's summary of the family: Transfer RNA (tRNA) molecules are approximately 80 nucleotides in length. Their secondary structure includes four short double-helical elements and three loops (D, anti-codon, and T loops). Further hydrogen bonds mediate the characteristic L-shaped molecular structure. tRNAs have two regions of fundamental functional importance: the anti-codon, which is responsible for specific mRNA codon recognition, and the 3' end, to which the tRNAs corresponding amino acid is attached (by aminoacyl-tRNA synthetases). tRNAs cope with the degeneracy of the genetic code in two manners: having more than one tRNA (with a specific anti-codon) for a particular amino acid; and 'wobble' base-pairing, i.e. permitting non-standard base-pairing at the 3rd anti-codon position. RNAcentral also lists the same sequence under 2 other names. The record is from RNAcentral. Lineage: Bacteria; Candidatus Aminicenantota.